UACGUAGGGGGCAAGCGUUGUCCGGAUUUAUUGGGCGUAAAGAGCGUGUAGGCGGCCUGAAAGGUCAGCUGUGAAAACUCGAGGCUCAACCUCGAGACGUCGGUUGAAACCAUCUGGCUAGAGUCCGGAAGAGGAGUGUGGAAUUCCCGGUGUAGCGGUGAAAUGCGCAGAUAUCGGGGAAGAACACCCGUGGCGAAGGCGGCACUCUGGGACGGUACUGACGCGUGAGACGCGGAAAGCGUGGGGAGCCGAACAGG
This 257-nucleotide ribosomal RNA is filed under the name uncultured bacterium. RNAcentral describes it as "partial 16S ribosomal RNA". It matches the Rfam family "Bacterial small subunit ribosomal RNA", at positions 524 to 776 of the family's 1533-position model. The record is from RNAcentral.